GCCCUCGUAUCACAGUGUAGUGAGUGUCACCCGUAAUGACAAGCUCGUCUGUUCGAUCCAGGCCGCGGGCA
This 71-nucleotide transfer RNA is filed under the name Metarhizium acridum CQMa 102. RNAcentral's name for it is "tRNA-Thr (CGT) (tRNA-Thr-CGT-1-1)". Lineage: Eukaryota; Fungi; Ascomycota; Sordariomycetes; Hypocreales; Clavicipitaceae. The record is from RNAcentral.